AUGGAGAAUCAUCUCGCGAUCCUGGCGUUGUUUCUGGGCGUGUGCAUGUCACAGCUCGGGGGUUCAGCGGCUCAGCAGUACUGGACGCCGGCCAACGCGACGUUCUAUGGCGGCGGCGACGCGUCCGGCACAAUGGGUGGAUCCUGCGGUUACGGCAACCUGUACGACGCCGGGUAUGGGACCAGCUCGACGGCGCUGAGCACGACGCUGUACGGCGACGGCAGGUCGUGCGGCGCUUGCUACGUCAUCACCUGCGACGCCUACCACACGCAGUCGUGCAAGCCGGGGACGUCCAUCACCGUCACGGCCACCAACUUCUGCCCGCCCAACUGGUCGCAGCCAAGCGACGACGGCGGCUGGUGCAACCCGCCGCGGCAGCACUUCGACAUGUCCCAGCCCGCCUGGGAGACCAUCGCCGUCUACCAGGCCGGCUUCGUGCCCAUCAAGUACGCCAGGACGGCGUGCCCGCGGAGGAACGGCGGCAUCCGCUUCUCCAUCACCGGCCAUGACUACUUCGAUCUGGUCCUCAUCAGCAACGUCGGCGGAAGCGGCGCCGUGUCGGCGGCGUGGGUGAAGGGCUCCAACACGGACUGGCUGCCCAUGAGCCGCAACUGGGGCUCUAACUGGCAGAGCAACGGCUACCUCACCGGCCAGAGCCUGUCGUUCCAGGUGCAGACGGACGAUGGCAGGUCCGUCACGGCGUACAACGUGGCGCCGGCAUACUGGAAGUUCGGCGACACUUACACGUCUUCCGUUAACUUCUACUAG
RNAcentral lists this ribosomal RNA (768 nucleotides) under Triticum aestivum (bread wheat). RNAcentral describes it as "partial small subunit ribosomal RNA". The record is from RNAcentral. Lineage: Eukaryota; Viridiplantae; Streptophyta; Magnoliopsida; Poales; Poaceae.